This 322-nucleotide long non-coding RNA is filed under the name Vombatus ursinus (common wombat). RNAcentral's name for it is "lncRNA (ENSVURG00010003270.1)". The record is from RNAcentral. Lineage: Eukaryota; Metazoa; Chordata; Mammalia; Diprotodontia; Vombatidae.
AGUUGAACCUCCACAUGGAGAAAGAAAGACUGAAGAGGGCUGAAGAGCUGGAUUCCCUUCGAGGUCGACAAAGUCAACUCCAGGCCCAGGUAGAGAUGUGUAAGGAGAAGAUCGCUUUGGUGGAGGCCAGAGAGCAGAAGCUCCAGGACCAGAAUCAAAGGCUGCAGAGUGAGCUGGACAAGGAACAGGAAGAGGUGAAGAGGCUGCAGCUGUUGUUGACCACUCGGGGAACGCUGUAUAAUCACGAGCUGAAGAAGAAGGAGCAAGAGCUACGGAAGCUCAAAGAGAGAGUCCAGCUGGGAGAACGGAGGGACAAAAGGGC